AUGAGUUACUGGAGUCUGGAUAAGAAGAGCUGCCUGCAGUACUGCCGGCACUUCCUAGCGGACAACGGCGUGUUCCACGUUGAAAGAUGCAUGAGUGUGAUGCAGUCUGGGACGCAGAUGGUGAAGCUGAAGAGUGGAACCAAGGGGCUGGUCAGGCUCUUCUACCUGGACGAGCACAGGACCUGCAUCCGAUGGAGGCCCUCCCGGAAGAGCGAAAAGGCAAAAAUUGUCAUCGACUCCAUUUACAAAGUCAGCGAGGGCCGGCAGUCAGAGAUCUUCCACCGCCACGCCGAGGGCAGCUUCGACCCCAGCUGCUGCUUCACUAUUUACCAUGGCAACCACCUGGAGACCCUGGACCUGAUCACGUCCAACCCCGAGGAGGCUCGCACCUGGAUCACGGGGCUCAAGUACCUCCUGGCCGGGAUCAGCGACGAGGACUCGCUCGCCAAGCGCCAGAGAACGCACGACCACUGGGUGAAGCAGACCUUCGAGGAGGCUGACAAGAACGGCGACGGGCUGCUGAACAUCGAGGAGAUCCACCAGCUGAUGCACAAGCUGAACGUGAGCCUGCCCCGCAGGAAGGUCCGGCAGAUGUUCCAGGAAGCAGACACAGAUGAGAACCAAGGAACCCUGAACUUUGAGGAAUUCUCAGUGUUUUACAAGAUGAUGUCCUUGCGUCGAGAUCUCUACCUGCUGCUCCUAAGCUACAGUGACAAGAAGGAUCAUCUCACUGCUGAGGAGCUGGCCCAGUUUCUGAGGGUGGAACAGAAGAUGAAUAAUGUGACACCAGAAUAUUGUCUGGACAUCAUACAGAAGUUUGAAGUGUCAGAAGAAAACAAGAAGCAAAAUGUUCUUGGGAUUGAAGGCUUCACCAGCUUCAUGCGCAGCCCGGCGUGCGAGGUGUGCAACCCGCUGCACCGCGAGGUGCACCAGGACAUGCAGCAGCCCCUGUGCCACUACUUCAUCGCCUCGUCCCACAACACCUACCUGAGCGGGGACCAGCUGCUGUCGCAGUCGCGGGCCGACAUGUACGCGCGCGUGCUGCAGGCCGGCUGCCGCUGCGUCGAAGUGGAUUGCUGGGAUGGCCCAGAUGGGGAGCCAGUGGUGCACCAUGGCUACACCCUGACUUCCAAAAUCCUCUUCCGGGACGUGGCAGAAACCAUCAAUAAAUACGCCUUCAUCAAAAACGAGUUUCCAGUGAUCCUGUCCAUUGAAAACCACUGCAGUAUUCAACAGCAAAAGAAGAUUGCCCAGUACCUCAAGGAGAUAUUUGGUGACAAACUGGACUUGUCAUCUGUGAGCACUGGAGAUCCCAGACAGCUUCCCAGCCCUCAGGAUUUAAAAGGGAAAAUCCUAGUGAAGGGUAAGAAAUUGCCCUGCAGCCUUGGAGCAGAUGCUGAGGAAGGAGAGGUUUCAGAAGAGGACAGUGCUGAUGAAAUUGAGGACGACUGCAAAUUAAAGCCCUGCUUUAGCAAUGGUGCAACUCAGCACCAGGUGGAAUCUUUUAUACGAACAAAACUGGAGUCUCUGCUAAAAGAAUCCCAGAUCAGGGACAAAGAGGAUCCUGACAGCUUCACUGUGAGAGCCCUGCUGAAGGCAACUCACCAGAGUUUCAGCAUGAACCUGAAGCAGAACUUGGACACAAAAGAAGGUGGAAAAAAGUCUCACGGUCGAUCAUUAAUGGGGAACUUUGUUAAACACAAGAGAGCUGCCAAGGCAGCAGCCAAAGCCCAGGGUGCCUCGGAUGAUGAGGAUGGCCAGCAGCAGCCUCCGGGCAAGGAGCCAGGGCAGCCCCACAGCAGGCUUGCCCGCCGCAGGAAGACAGUGAAGCUGUGCCGGGCCCUGUCUGACCUGGUGGUGUACACCAACUCCAUGGCAGCCCAGGACAUCGUGGAUGAUGGCUCCACAGGGAACGUGCUGUCAUUCAGUGAGACCAGAGCCCACCAGGCAGUGCAGCAGAAGGCUGAGCAGUUCAUGCUUUACAACCAGAGGCAGCUGACCAGGGUCUAUCCCUCAGCCUACCGGAUUGACUCCAGCAACUUCAACCCUGUUCCUUACUGGAAUGUGGGCUGCCAGUUAGUGGCUCUAAACUACCAGUCUGAGGGACGUGUGAUGCAGUUAAAUGAAGCAAAAUUCAGGGUAAAUGGCAACUGUGGUUAUGUCCUCAAACCUCAGCAGAUGUGCAAAGGCACGUUCAACCCCUACUCUGCUGAUCCACUUCCUGCCAGUCCUAAGAAGCAGCUUAUUCUGAAGAUCAUCAGUGGGCAGCAGCUCCCCAAGCCUCCUGACUCAAUGCUGGGGGACAGAGGAGAGAUAAUAGAUCCAUUUGUUGAGGUGGAGAUUAUUGGGUUGCCUGUUGACUGCUGUAAAGAUCAGACCAGGGUGGUGGAUGACAAUGGGUUCAAUCCUGUGUGGGAGGAGACCCUCACCUUCACCAUCCACAUGCCCGAAAUUGCCCUGGUGCGGUUCCUUGUCUGGGACCACGAUCCCAUCGGGAGAGACUUCGUGGGGCAGAGAACUGUGGCCUUCAGCAGCCUCGUGCCUGGCUAUCGCCACGUGUAUUUAGAAGGACUGACAGAAGCUUCCAUAUUUGUUCAUAUAAUCAUUAAUGAGACCUAUGGAAAGGUAGGUACAGCUGGAAAUUUACAUCUUCCUUCUGAUAAAAAUGGAUUUAAAUGUACCCCAGAACCUCCCAGGAUUUGUGUUGGAGUGCCCAGGAGGCUCAGAGUGUGUGUGGGGUUUCCUCGCAGGAGAUCAGCAAGGAAACUUCACCAUACCAUGACUCCACCCUUGCUGUGCACAUACUUGCAGACGUUCUUACUGUUAGCACCUAACAAUUAUCUUGUCUAGGUACAGGAGGUACAUUUCUUCCAUGUGCUAAACUAAUCUUAUUUUGGAAGUAGUUCUUGAGAACUGUAGCUGCACCAGAACAUAUUUGACAAACUGGUUUUAGCAGCUAAUUUAAUUAAUUUAAAUUAGCCUAGUUUAAUUUUAUGUUUUAGUGCAUAGGUUCUGUUUUUCUGCAAGUUUGCUAAUUUUAGUGUCUUUAAAGUGAAAGUGAAAGCACAGUGCUUUUUCUGUGUUUUCAGCUGCCCUUCCUUAGCUGUUUCCAUCUGGAGAUAAGCGGCACAAAGAAAUUAAGGCCAUGUUCAGCAGAAUGCUAAAGUAAAAUGGCACCUUAGCAGCGAUUUAAGAAAUGAAGAUAAACACAAAACCCUGACUUUGAGAGGUUUGAGGUUGCAGAGGACACUCAGCCCCUCAGCUUUGUGCCUUCUGAGAGGGUGCAGAGAAUGUCAUGACAAACAUGAACCCAAAGUUGUGCAGCACCCACAGAAAGCUCCGGGGAACAGAGAGAGAACAGCAGAGAGAAGGGCCCAGGGCUGAGGUUUGCUCUUGUCCAGAUCCUCUCCCAGCUCCGCUUCCUUUCUCCUCCCUGAUCCCAUGGGAUCAUGGGAUGGGAUCACACGUAUUGGUACGUGCACAUCUGGGCAUAUCUGUGAGAUCACAUCCCUUGGGGACGGUCUGCAGGGGCCUGUUUGGCUGCUGCCCUUGUAAGAACAAAUAUGCUCAAGAAAACCAGCAGUGUAACUCGAGGGGAGGCAAGAGGAGCAGGAGGGGACAGCCACUGGGAUUCCAUCUCUGUCCCUGGGUCUGUUCCCCUGAUGCUGCACUGCUGUUUCUCAUAGGCUGAGUUGGCAUCUUGGAGCCCUUUAAUCCUC
This is an RNA transcript of Vidua macroura (Pin-tailed whydah), 3719 nucleotides long. It is a transcript of the gene named 1-phosphatidylinositol 4,5-bisphosphate phosphodiesterase eta-1-like, with no coding region annotated. The record is from RefSeq and is a predicted model, not a curated record. The transcript is spliced from 21 exons. NCBI's taxonomy places the organism in Eukaryota, Metazoa, Chordata, Aves, Passeriformes, Viduidae.